This 492-nucleotide ribosomal RNA is filed under the name uncultured bacterium. RNAcentral describes it as "partial 16S ribosomal RNA". It matches the Rfam family "Bacterial small subunit ribosomal RNA", at positions 29 to 507 of the family's 1533-position model. The record is from RNAcentral.
AGUGAACGCUGGCGGUAGGCCUAACACAUGCAAGUCGAACGGCAGCACAGUAAGAGCUUGCUCUUACGGGUGGCGAGUGGCGGACGGGUGAGGAAUACAUCGGAAUCUACUUUUUCGUGGGGGAUAACGUAGGGAAACUUACGCUAAUACCGCAUACGACCUACGGGUGAAAGCAGGGGAUCUUCGGACCUUGCGCGAUUGAAUGAGCCGAUGUCGGAUUAGCUAGUUGGCGGGGUAAAGGCCCACCAAGGCGACGAUCCGUUGCUGGUCUGAGAGGAUGAUCAGCCACACUGGAACUGAGACACGGUCCAGACUCCUACGGGAGGCAGCAGUGGGGAAUAUUGGACAAUGGGCGCAAGCCUGAUCCAGCCAUACCGCGUGGGUGAAGAAGGCCUUCGGGUUUUAAAGCCCUUUUGUUGGGAAAGAAAAGCAGCAGGUUAAUACCCCGCUGUUCUGACGGUACCCAAAGAAUAAGCACCGGCUAACUUCGUG